This 852-nucleotide ribosomal RNA is filed under the name Kocuria oceani. RNAcentral's name for it is "bacterial SSU rRNA". It matches the Rfam family "Bacterial small subunit ribosomal RNA", at positions 414 to 1276 of the family's 1533-position model. Lineage: Bacteria; Bacillati; Actinomycetota; Actinomycetes; Micrococcales; Micrococcaceae. The record is from RNAcentral.
GCCUUCGGGUUGUAAACCUCUUUCAGCAGGGAAGAAGCCACAAGUGACGGUACCUGCAGAAGAAGCGCCGGCUAACUACGUGCCAGCAGCCGCGGUAAUACGUAGGGCGCAAGCGUUGUCCGGAAUUAUUGGGCGUAAAGAGCUCGUAGGCGGUUUGUCGCGUCUGCUGUGAAAGCCCGGGGCUCAACCCCGGGUCUGCAGUGGGUACGGGCAGACUAGAGUGCAGUAGGGGAGACUGGAAUUCCUGGUGUAGCGGUGAAAUGCGCAGAUAUCAGGAGGAACACCGAUGGCGAAGGCAGGUCUCUGGGCUGUUACUGACGCUGAGGAGCGAAAGCAUGGGGAGCGAACAGGAUUAGAUACCCUGGUAGUCCAUGCCGUAAACGUUGGGCACUAGGUGUGGGGGACAUUCCACGUUCUCCGCGCCGUAGCUAACGCAUUAAGUGCCCCGCCUGGGGAGUACGGCCGCAAGGCUAAAACUCAAAGGAAUUGACGGGGGCCCGCACAAGCGGCGGAGCAUGCGGAUUAAUUCGAUGCAACGCGAAGAACCUUACCAAGGCUUGACAUUCACCGGACCGCACUGGAGACAGUGCUUCCCUUCGGGGUCGGUGGACAGGUGGUGCAUGGUUGUCGUCAGCUCGUGUCGUGAGAUGUUGGGUUAAGUCCCGCAACGAGCGCAACCCUCGUUCUAUGUUGCCAGCACGUGAUGGUGGGGACUCAUAGGAGACUGCCGGGGUCAACUCGGAGGAAGGUGGGGAUGACGUCAAAUCAUCAUGCCCCUUAUGUCUUGGGCUUCACGCAUGCUACAAUGGCCGGUACAAAGGGUUGCGAUACUGUGAGGUGGAGCUAAUCCGU